RNAcentral lists this ribosomal RNA (482 nucleotides) under uncultured bacterium. RNAcentral's name for it is "partial 16S ribosomal RNA". It matches the Rfam family "Bacterial small subunit ribosomal RNA", at positions 28 to 506 of the family's 1533-position model. The record is from RNAcentral.
GACGAACGCUGGCGGCGUGCUUAACACAUGCAAGUCGAACGAUGAAGCGGGUGCUUGCACUCGUGGAUUAGUGGCGAACGGGCGAGUAACACGUGAGUAACCUGUCCUUUUCUUUGGGAUAACGGCUGGAAACGGCUGCUAAUACUGGAUAUUCAGGCUGCAUCGCAUGGUGUGGUUUGGAAAGGUUUUUUCUGGGAUUGGGUGGGCUCGCGGCCUAUCAGCUUGUUGGUGGGGUGAUGGCUUACCAAGGCUUUGACGGGUAGCCGGCCUGAGAGGGUGGUCGGUCGCACUGGGACUGAGAUACGGCCCAGACUCCUACGGGAGGCAGCAGUGGGGAAUAUUGCACAAUGGACGAAAGUUUGAUGCAGCGACGCCGCGUGGAGGGUGUAGGCCUUCGGGUGGUGAACUCCUUUUUCUCGCGAAAAAGGCACAGUUUUGGCUGUGUUGAUGGUAGUGGGGGAAGAAGCGCCGGCUAACUACGU